Molecule: ribosomal RNA, 461 nt
Filed under: uncultured bacterium
Lineage: Bacteria
Description: bacterial SSU rRNA
Rfam family: Bacterial small subunit ribosomal RNA
Source: RNAcentral
GAUGAACGCUGGCGGCGUGCAUAACACAUUCAAGUCGAACGGUGAUCACCUUCGGGUGUGAUCAGUGGCGGACGGGUGAGUAACGCGUGAGCAACCUGCCCUUGUGUGGGGGAUACCGUCUGGAAACGGACGUUAAUACCGCAUAUGCCAUAGAAAUCACAUGAUUUCAGUGGGAAAGGAGUAAUCCGCUAACAGAUGGGCUCGCGUCUGAUUAGAUAGUUGGUGGGGUAACGGCCUACCAAGUCGACGAUCAGUAGCCGGACUGAGAGGUUGAACGGCCACAUUGGGACUGAGAUACGGCCCAGACUCCUACGGGAGGCAGCAGUCGGGAAUAUUGCGCAAUGGAGGAAACUCUGACGCAGUGACGCCGCGUAUAGGACGAAGGUCUUCGGAUUGUAAACUAUUGUCGUUAGGGAAGNGAAAGGACAGUACCUAAGGAGGAAGCUCCGGCUAACUACGUG